AUCGCUUCUCGGCCUUUUGGCUAAGAUCAAAGUGUAGUAUCUUUUCAUAUAAAAAUUUAUAAGGUGCGCGGGAACGUCAAAGAAUAGCAUCGCCUUAUUUGGGCAGAAAACGUUUUGAUGAGAAUUCUGGAGACAAGGUAUGUCGUGCAAACACGUGUCUGCCAAAUUGAAAUAUUUUGGAAUUUGGGAUUUUUAU
Molecule: small nuclear RNA, 196 nt
Organism: Colias croceus (clouded yellow)
Lineage: Eukaryota; Metazoa; Arthropoda; Insecta; Lepidoptera; Pieridae
Product: U2 spliceosomal RNA
Exons: 1
Source: RefSeq, a predicted model, not a curated record